GCAAUGUUGGCUGACGCUCCCCCUUGCCGGCUCCCGCUAUUGAACCAGACCCAAGUGCAAUGUUUAAUAAUCCAAGCGUUCUGGAGAAGAGAAGAUCAAGGGCAAUGCCAAGGAUGCCACUGUUGGGUAUCGGAGGAUUUACCUAGAUUGGGUCCCUCAAUGUGGAAUAUCUGAAUUAUCAACAUAGACAUUUCAAGCUUGGGGGCGCCUGGGUAGCACAGUCGUUAAGCAUCUGCCUUCAGCUCAGG
Ailuropoda melanoleuca (giant panda) is the source of this 248-nucleotide long non-coding RNA. RefSeq lists it as uncharacterized. The record is from RefSeq and is a predicted model, not a curated record. Lineage: Eukaryota; Metazoa; Chordata; Mammalia; Carnivora; Ursidae. The transcript has 3 exons.